AUUGAACGCUGGCGGCAGGCUUAACACAUGCAAGUCGAGCGGUAGCACAGGGGAGCUUGCUCCCUGGGUGACGAGCGGCGGACGGGUGCGUAAUGUCUGGGAAACUGCCUGAUGGAGGGGGAUAACUACUGGAAACGGUAGCUAAUACCGCAUAACGUCGCAAGACCAAAGAGGGGGACCUUCGGGCCUCUUGCCAUCAGAUGUGCCCAGAUGGUAUUAUCUCGUAGGUGGGGUAAUGGUUCACCUAGGCGACGACCCCUAGCUGGUCUGAGAGGAUGACCAGCCACACUGGAACUGAGACACGGUACAGACGCCUACGGGAGGCAGCGGUGGGGAAUAUUGCACAAUGGGCGCAAGCCUGAUGCAGCCAUGCCGAGUGUGUGAAGAAGGCCUUCGGGUUGUAAAGCACUUCCAGCGAGGAGGAAGGUGGUGAGCUUAAUACGUUCAUCAAUUGACGUUACUCGAAGAAGAAGCACCGGCUAACUCCGUG
This 490-nucleotide ribosomal RNA is filed under the name uncultured bacterium. Its description in RNAcentral is "partial 16S ribosomal RNA". It matches the Rfam family "Bacterial small subunit ribosomal RNA", at positions 30 to 507 of the family's 1533-position model. The record is from RNAcentral.